UUCUGGGAAUUGAUGGGUAUAUGCUUUUCCUGCAGGAGACCCACCAGUGGCAGGUUGAACAGUAAAAUCUCUGAGCAUAUUUCGGCAUCAGUAACUCCCCUCCAUGUUUGUCUGGAGGAACAAAGAGGACCAGAACUGGGCUCAUGUGACGCCCCAGCUCACAAGCCUCAGGUCAAGAACACCUUUGAAAAUCAAAAAGCAGAAGAGGAAGUUCCUGAGGAGGCAGAGGGUGGAUCAGUUGAAAUCGAAGCAGAAGAGUUAAAACAGAGCCAAUCGAGUAUGGCUAACACUAUCAGCAACAUGAAAAUGACUAAUCCCAUCAAGGGGCUGGUCAGCAAACGCCGUAAACGUUUUACAGAAGAUGGUUUUGAUCUUGAUCUCACAUAUAUAAGAGAUAAUUUAAUAGCAAUGGGUUUCCCUGCCGAGAAGCUGGAAGGAGUGUACAGAAAUCAUAUUGACGACGUUGUUAAGUUGCUAGAGUCCAAACACAAAGAUCAUUACAAGAUUUAUAAUCUGUGUUCCGAGAGGUCCUACGAUUGCAAAAAGUUCAAACAGAGAGUAGCUACUUACGCGUUCGACGAUCACAAUCCACCGAAGCUGGAGCAAAUCAAACCUUUCUGUGAAGAUGUGCACGAGUGGCUUUCCCUACACAAAGAGAACGUAGCCGUGGUCCAUUGUAAGGCGGGCAAGGGUCGGACGGGUGUAAUGGUGUGUUGUUAUUUACUUCAUAGCAAGCAGUUUGCCAACGCCAUGGAUGCUCUUAAUUAUUACGGAACUAAACGGACUCACGAUAGGAAGGGAGUGACGAUACCUUCCCAAAGGAGAUACGUGGAUUAUUAUGCAACCCUUGUUCAAGAAGGUCUCAAUUAUCAACCAGUGACAUUGAUACUUCGUAAAAUACAACUAGAUCCAGUCCCCAUUUUUAACGGCGGUCAAGGAAGUCUGCGUUUUAUGAUCUCGGAAUCUAACAAAAGGAUAUAUAUGAAAGAUUAUGAGGUACGGAAAGGUACCUCCUCUAUAAGCAUCUCGCUAGAGAGCUACGUAGCGUUGACGGGAGAUAUACGGGUGGACUUUUUCAACAGACCGAAAAUGAAGCGGAAGGAAAAGAUGUUUCAUUUUUGGUUCAACACAUUUUUCGUCCGAGAAUAUACGAAUUCCGAUUACGACAAUGGCGAAUUACCGAGGUCGACAAGGGCAUUGAGCUGCGACGGCACGGCCAUGGAGUCGCCGAUGGUUAUGCCGCAUGUGAGAUCUAGAACUGGAUCGUUGGCAAGCCUUGGCCCCAUGCCGCCUACUCUCGUUUUACGGAUAGACAAAUGGGGCCUUGAUGACGCCCAUAAGGAUAAGAAUCACAAGCAGUACAGUUCAGAUUUUAAAGUGAGUCUAUUUAUGCAUUGUGUCGGCGGGAGCAUAUCGCCGGCUGCACCGGCGACGACGAACAGAACCGGGGACGGUGUGCAGCUGGGGAUGGCCGGACAGGAGACGUCGAGUGAAUCCAGCGAGGCCGACAGCAGCGAGUGCGACACCACCGGCGACGAGGACGGUUGGGAUUCUGGUGAGUCCUCUGCAUCUCUGGUGGUGAACCACCGCCAACACCAUCCCCUUACACACAGCAGUAGCCGUACACAUGUUAACUCUAAUCCGCGACUUAGUCUGAAAGAGACAGCCAAGAGUUUGCUGUCGCGCAGCGACAAAGGCAGGAACAGUAACAGGCAGAGCGUGGCCGGCGCGAAUGCAAAGUGCGCUUCCGCGUUCACGCGUCCGGCUGCUCUGGACACGUAGUUAGUAGCUAGCUCGCUUCUGGUACUUAAGAAAGAGCGGUUUUUCUCCGUCGGUACUUCGCGCGCGCGCGCGCACACAUACUCAUAUACACACAUACAACACAUACAUACACAUACAAGCACGCAAACAUACAUACAUACAUUCUCUCUUUUUCCUCGCAAAGUCGUACGACACGUGCACACGUUACGCGUUCUCUUCGCGAAGUCGCGGAACUACACACACGGUUGAUGUAUUUCUAUUUUCGUUUUUUCUCUGCGCGCGCGUUUAUUUAAGGGCUUGGUACGCAUAGAGUGAUGACUAGGAGCCGGAUCUGUCGUUUUCUUCCUCUUUCUUUUUCUUUUCUGAAAUAGUAAUCGCUAUACCCCCUCUUUCUUUUUGUACAGUCGUUACGUUUUUCACAUUCUUCUGAUCUAUUUCUCCGUGUGUUUAUUUAUGUUUGUUUCUGUCUUUCUUUCUUUUUUUCUCUUUCCUCUCUUUCUCUUUGUUUCUCUUCGGUACGUCGGUGGGACCAUGAGCCUUUCUUUUUCCGCAUUGACAAUUCGUAUCUUACCGAUUAGAAUUCGCGUCGCGGUCACGAUUGUUCACGUAAUACUCGAUAACGUGGACGAUUGAUCGUUGAACAUCAACUCGCGCUUGUUCGCAACUCUCUGGACCGAUCUGCGUAAAUCGAACAGCUCACCUUGGGAAGUAACGCCAUAACUAAUGUGAAAUAGUUCUCGCGACGAAGAGAGGUGCACAUUCGGCCCUAUACAACAUUUGUGACAACAGCCCGACGUUUUAUCACUUCGGCACGUAACAAAACGCGGACCACCGCGAACACGGUCGCUUACCAAUUCGCUCUGGCGACUCGUGUAUCUUGAACUCGUGUGUAUUAUCGCUUUAAACGAUCGCAGAUAGGAUGUGAUAGGAUAUUUAUCUAAAUGGGUUCUUCGUAAUUGCACCGGAACGACACACCAUUCGGCCGUCGGCGUAAGAAAUUGUUUUUGAAAGAGAAAAGAAAGAAAUUAAUUCUUUAUAUUUUGAUUAUUCGCAAACAAAGUGAACCAAUAAAAGAAAUUUUGCGCAACGGCAGAUCUUUUUCUCUCAUGUCUUUUCUGUUUUUUUAAAUCAGAAUUCGCGUCAUUCUCGGCAACGCGAAGCGAAUUUUAUUGAUUCUUCAGCGAUCCAUGUGUAUAUUUUCUUCUUUUUUAGCGAAAUCGCGCGUUCGCUCGUAUUUAAUCGAACUUUAUCUGUGACUCCGUCGGAGUAGAGAAUCGCGUCGGUACGGUAGGGGAAAGAGAAGGAGAAUACGCAAUACACAUUGAAAACUGUCAGGCUGUGCGAUAUCCAAGGUCUUUUGGGUAUCCUCUGAAAACGAAUUUUUGAGCUCGCGUUAACGCGCGCGUUAACUCAUUUCAAUUGGAGCACUCUAUCUCGUAGGAUAACCUUUGUUCUGACUAUUUUUCUUGUGAUUAUAUUAUAUCUAAGUGAUAUACGCAUACAUUUUUAUUAUUAUAUAUACAUAGUAUAUAUAUUAUAUGUAUAAACGUUUGAGAGAUAAAUGAAGAAUUUAUAGAUAUACGCAAGAGUAAUUACAUUUGACUAGUAUAAAAACAUAUAUGUAGCUUCACACACAUAUACGUACACAAACAACACACACAUACACGAAUACACACACACUCACACAUAUACAACAGAGACAAACCGACAUACAGAGACAGACAGACAGAGAUACUUAUAUUCCACCAAAGUAAAUCGUAGUACAACUCUUGAACAAUUUAUGCGCUGUUAAGAUAAUCGUAAACGGGACGAGGAAGAGAAGGAAAGGAGCGUAACAGCACGGACCGGACGGCGACAAAAUUCGGUUUUAAGAAAGCGGUCAUUCACGACAAGGAUUAACAACGAAGGAACGUGGAGGAGAACGUUGCGCAAGUACGAAAGAACACGCGUAGCGAUGAUAGCCUACGUAGUAAGAUCCAUCUAGCUGAAUUACGAUAGACGACCUUCUUUUCUUUUUUACGUUAGAUCGAUAAGACCGUAGCGAUAAAUGUAACGCCGUUCGAUUUAUCACGCGUCUUUUAGUAUAUUUAAUUGAACGAAAGAAAGAGGAAAAAUGGAAAAGAAGAAAAAAAACAUAGAAGAGGAAGAAGAGAAGAAGUGGAAGGACCGAGAUAUACCUUCCGUUAGUGUAAUAAAAGAAGAAGACCAUCAAUAUCUCACACAUAUUCCGCAAGUGUAGGAGCUACUUAGGCGUCAAACAUUACACGUUACAAAGUACCUAUCCUACUACUCUCCCGCUGACGAUGUCGGAUAUCUGUCUCCACGCGUGAAAGAAAAAAAAAAGAUGCACUCGAACUCAAUAAGUGAAAUUUCCAUCUCGGACAGAUUUCACUACCGGAAGCUUUACUGGGACCAAUAAAACUACUUUGUAAGUCAGCGUACUCGUUUCUCCGUUGAUAUAAUAAUCGAGGUCGCGAUGAUGACGAGGACCACGACGACGAAGACGACGACAACGACGACGAUGUGAAGACAAUGUGGCGCUUACUCUGAACUCUGUUUUAUCUAUCGGAAAAUGCCUUUAAAUGUGACCAAUUAGUAGAAGAUUUAUAAGUCACAUUUACAGGUACUUUUAUCGAUAAAAGUGUACUCAAAAAGAAAUAGUCUUACAGUCGCAGCGAAAAUUAUUUAGAUAACAAUCCCAAACAGCACAAAUCCGGAAUCCGCACAGAUCCGAUUAGGACAUCCGAAAAAUGUUCUGAGAACAUCCUACGUCCUGAAAAUGUUCCCAGGAUAUCCUCUAGAGAUUGUACUGUCCAGAAUUAGUUAAGACAGAUACAAAUGAAUAACAGAUUCUCUGCGAAAUCACAUAUGUUUUGUAUUUAUUCGACAUAGAUGAUAGAAACAGAAUUUGUAUCUGAACUAUUUCUGAAAUUUAGCAAGACAGUCUCUCUGUGACGCCCAUUCAAAUUAAGGCCAGUCAGAUUUCUUACGAGAAUAAGAUUGCGGCGGACAAUAAAAGACUUGCGAGGAGAGACAAACGAAUGCAUAAUUCUUACACUUAUAUAAAUAUACUUGCAGAAAUUGCUGCGGAAUGCGGUUGUUAUAAUUUUUAACUUGCCACAUGCAGUUUUCUAUCAGAUACAAAAAGACCGCGAUAAAUUUUGACUGCGACAUUUAUAGAAUUCUACUUGGACGAGCAAAACAUCUUUUUAGGUGUGAGUUCAGGAUAAGAAUGACGAUGACGAGGACGAUUUAAUCUUAAGAGUUCUAUUUAUGAUAUAUUAAAGUAGUACUUUGACUCAGCCUAUAGAGUACAAAACGCAACGUGACUUGAUCUCAGAUAAAACUAGAAAAUUAUUCUUGCUUCUCAGCUUCUGGGAGAGCGCGCGGCGUGUCUUUCCAUUGAUACACGAUGCAUAAAGAAGCGGUGUCGUCGCGCGCGUGUGCGUGAAGAAGGAAUCAUGUUUGAGAAAAAAAAAGGACAAAAAGUUUCGGCGCUUCCGCGAAAGCGAAACGGGAAAAAGGGGUGGGGGGGGGAAGGAAAAAGAAAGGAAGAAGGAGAAAAUCGGGAUCUCCCGAUCUCUGGUUCAUCACGAGUCGAUCUGUCGCAUUCACUCUCUCCUCAUGUAAAUGCGCGGCAGCGACGAUCAAACAAUUUUUUAUCAUUAAGAGAUUCCUUUUCGUUGAAUAUCUUUCUUUUUCUUUUUUUGUUUUACUUGUUUACGGCGAGAUUCGGUUUCUCUUUCAUGACGAUCGUUCUUUCUCGACCGAUCGUCGCUCUUACGCGAAAACGAAAACGUUCGUCUCUCUCUCACCCGAGAUAUCACGGCGGAGGAGUUCGAAACGUACACGAGACAGGCGGUUAUUACUCAUUCAUUAUCAGAUCGGCGACGAUGCGGCAAGGAAGAAGCCUGCGCGAGAAAGAGAGAGAAAGAGAGGGAGAGAGUAUGCCAUAAUAAAUAAAAUCGCGAAUGCGUCACGACAUGUAUAUCACACAUUCAUCUUCUUUAUCCAAUUCGUUCUCUAUUUCCGUACGCGCGUAACUCGGUGAUAUACCGAACGACUGACGAGGUGUGCGCCUUCUCCUCUUUUUUUUACUCUCGCUCGACCGAGGAUACCUUUCUUUUCUUUUUAUUUUUCUUAUUACGCUGUUGAUUUAAUUGAUUCGUGCACCAGUCGCGUGCAAGACUCCGCGAUUCGUUUCCCGCGACGAGAAAAACCGCGCGCGCGAAAGAUGUCUCUUUUAUUUUUUUACGUAUGCACGUGCAUGUGCAUGAUCGCGCGUUUGUUCCUAGUGUGAAGUAGUUCGCGGUUCAUCGCUGGUUGAAAUAAAGUCGUCGAGUCGAAUCUUACGCGAUUCCCAGCCGACUAAUCACAGCCCUCCCUGAAAACUGCGACUCCUGGUCCGAUGCGACUCGAUCGUGUUGACGGCUCGUUAGAGAGAAAAGGAACAUAGAGGCAAUACUAUACUACUAUACGCAAAAUGUUAAGUUACAUGUAAUGCGUAAAUGACAAGUGCGUUCUUUACACACAAUGUACCUUGCAAUAACAAUAAGUUUGAUAUUAAAACGACAUGCUACCCUCA
RNA transcript from Odontomachus brunneus, 6346 nucleotides. It is a transcript of the gene named phosphatidylinositol 3,4,5-trisphosphate 3-phosphatase and dual-specificity protein phosphatase PTEN, with no coding region annotated. Lineage: Eukaryota; Metazoa; Arthropoda; Insecta; Hymenoptera; Formicidae. The transcript is spliced from 9 exons. The record is from RefSeq and is a predicted model, not a curated record.